GUGGUUUAAUUCGAUGCAACGCGAAGAACCUUACCUGGUCUUGACAUCCCGGAGACCCUUAGGAAACUAGGGGGUGCUUCCAUCUGGAAGAAUCUGGAGACAGGUGCUGCAUGGCUGUCGUCAGCUCGUGUCGUGAGAUGUUGGGUUAAGUCCCGCAACGAGCGCAACCCUUGCCUUUAGUUGCCAGCAGUUCGGCUGGGCACUCUAAAGGGACUGCCGGUAUUAAACCGGAGGAAGGUGGGGAUGACGUCAAGUCCUCAUGGCCUUUAUGACCAGGGCUACACACGUACUACAAUGGCCGAUACAAAGGGCAGCGACACUGCGAGGUGAAGCCAAUCCCGUAAAAUCGGUCUCAGUCCGGAUUGGAGUCCGCAACUCGACUGCGUGAAGUCGGAAUCGCUAGUAAUCGUGAAUCAGAAUGUCACGGUGAAUACGUUCCCGGGCCUU
This 447-nucleotide ribosomal RNA is filed under the name uncultured Desulfobulbus sp. RNAcentral describes it as "bacterial SSU rRNA". It matches the Rfam family "Bacterial small subunit ribosomal RNA", at positions 941 to 1382 of the family's 1533-position model. Lineage: Bacteria; Pseudomonadati; Thermodesulfobacteriota; Desulfobulbia; Desulfobulbales; Desulfobulbaceae. The record is from RNAcentral.